UCUUUUUAGAAUGAUGAAAAACUUUGGAUUUUCUUAAUGAUAUGGUCUGAAACAGUAUGCUGUCUUUUUCUUCAGGUGGCAGUGCACUUACUAUCAGAGAAAGAGAAGAACGAUAUGGCUCAGUUAGUGAAUACAAUGGUUUCUUGUUGUAUUACAUAUAAAAACCUGAAAUUUGAUCCUCUGCCUAGUACCUCAAGACAUCAUGCAGUUUCAGAUUCUUCAAUGCUUUCAUUGAUCUCCAAUUGGUGACUUAAUAAACUUCAAGAUGGUUUUUGGCGUGGAAAUGUGAAUAUUCUUUAUUUGUGUGCGGAGGACAUUGCUCUUUUUUAUAAUAUGUUAUUAUGUUUCCUUUGUUUUUUUGUGAAUUACUAUUGUUUGUACAGAUAACUAUUGGCGUCGUACAAAUUAGUUUUGUCAUAGAACUUAUUACAUUUGGCGUGGUACAAAUUACUUGACAUGGUAUUGUGGAUAUUUCUUUUUUUGUGUUCGAAAGACAUAGUUUUUGUAUAAUCCUUUGUUUUGUAUAGAAUUAUUAUUUUAAGUUA
Molecule: non-coding RNA, 545 nt
Organism: Camellia sinensis
Lineage: Eukaryota; Viridiplantae; Streptophyta; Magnoliopsida; Ericales; Theaceae
Source: RefSeq, a predicted model, not a curated record